Molecule: ribosomal RNA, 301 nt
Filed under: uncultured bacterium
Lineage: Bacteria
Description: partial 16S ribosomal RNA
Rfam family: Bacterial small subunit ribosomal RNA
Source: RNAcentral
CAGCCGCCGCGGUAAUACGAAGGGUGCAAGCGUUAAUCGGAAUUACUGGGCGUAAAGCGUGCGUAGGCGGUGAGUUAAGUCUGCUGUGAAAUCCCCGGGCUCAACCUGGGAAUGGCAGUGGAUACUGGCUCGCUAGAGUGUGUCAGAGGAUGGUGGAAUUCCCGGUGUAGCGGUGAAAUGCGUAGAGAUCGGGAGGAACAUCAGUGGCGAAGGCGGCCAUCUGGGACAACACUGACGCUGAGGCACGAAAGCGUGGGGAGCAAACGGGAUUAGAUACCCCAGUAGUCCCUGUCUCUUAUAC